GCGGGUAUAGCUCAAGUGGUAGAGUGUAUGCUUAGCAUGCACAAGGUCCUGGGUUCAAGUCCCAGUACCUCCA
This 73-nucleotide transfer RNA is filed under the name Camelus bactrianus (Bactrian camel). It matches the Rfam family "tRNA". From Rfam's summary of the family: Transfer RNA (tRNA) molecules are approximately 80 nucleotides in length. Their secondary structure includes four short double-helical elements and three loops (D, anti-codon, and T loops). The record is from Rfam by way of RNAcentral. RNAcentral also lists the same sequence under 2 other names. Lineage: Eukaryota; Metazoa; Chordata; Mammalia; Artiodactyla; Camelidae.